Molecule: ribosomal RNA, 526 nt
Filed under: uncultured bacterium
Lineage: Bacteria
Description: bacterial SSU rRNA
Rfam family: Bacterial small subunit ribosomal RNA
Source: RNAcentral
CAGGGAAUCUUGUCCAAUGGGCGAAAGCCUGACGGAGCAAUGCCGCGUGGAGGAGGAAGGCCUGUGGGUCGUAAACUCCUUUUCUCAGAGAAGAAGUUCUGACGGUAUCUGAGGAAUAAGCAUCGGCUAACUACGUGCCAGCAGCCGCGGUAAUACGUAGGGUGCGAGCGUUAAUCGGAAUUACUGGGCGUAAAGGGUGCGCAGGCGGUUUUGUAAGUCAGAUGUGAAAUCCCCGGGCUUAACCUGGGAACUGCGUUUGAAACUACAAGGCUAGAGUGUAGCAGAGGGGGGUGGAAUUCCGCGUGUAGCAGUGAAAUGCGUAGAUAUGCGGAGGAACACCGAUGGCGAAGGCAGCCCCCUGGGUUAACACUGACGCUCAGGCACGAAAGCAUGGGGAGCAAACAGGAUUAGAUACCCUGGUAGUCCACGCCGUAAACGAUGUCUACUAGUUGUCGGGAGACUUGAUCUCUUGGUAACGAAGCUAACGCGAUAAGUAGACCGCCUGGGGAGUACGGCCGCAAGGUUA